This 253-nucleotide ribosomal RNA is filed under the name uncultured bacterium. RNAcentral's name for it is "partial 16S ribosomal RNA". It matches the Rfam family "Bacterial small subunit ribosomal RNA", at positions 524 to 776 of the family's 1533-position model. The record is from RNAcentral.
UACGUAGGGCGCAAGCGUUGUCCGGAAUUAUUGGGCGUAAAGAGCUCGUAGGCGGUUUGUCGCGUCUGCCGUGAAGGUCCGGGGCUCAACUCCGGAUCUGCGGUGGGUACGGGCAGACUAGAGUGAUGUAGGGGAGACUGGAAUUCCUGGUGUAGCGGUGAAAUGCGCAGAUAUCAGGAGGAACACCGAUGGCGAAGGCAGGUCUCUGGGCAUUAACUGACGCUGAGGAGCGAAAGCAUGGGGAGCGAACAGG